GAUGAACGCUGGCGGCGUGCCUAAUACAUGCAAGUCGAGCGAACGGACGAGAAGCUUGCUUUUCUGAUGUUAGCGGCGGACGGGUGAGUAACACGUGGAUAACCUACCUAUAAGACUGGGAUAACUUCGGGAAACCGGAGCUAAUACCGGAUAAUAUUUUGAACCGCAUGGUUCAAAAGUGAAAGACGGUCUUGCUGUCACUUAUAGAUGGAUCCGCGCUGCAUUAGCUAGUUGGUAAGGUAACGGCUUACCAAGGCAACGAUGCAUAGCCGACCUGAGAGGGUGAUCGGCCACACUGGAACUGAGACACGGUCCAGACUCCUACGGGAGGCAGCAGUAGGGAAUCUUCCGCAAUGGGCGAAAGCCUGACGGAGCAACGCCGCGUGAGUGAUGAAGGUCUUCGGAUCGGAAAACUCUGUUAUUAGGGAAGAACAUAUGUGUAAGUAACUGUGCACAUCUUGACGGUACCUAAUCAGAAAGCCACGGCUAACUACGUG
This 497-nucleotide ribosomal RNA is filed under the name uncultured bacterium. Its description in RNAcentral is "partial 16S ribosomal RNA". It matches the Rfam family "Bacterial small subunit ribosomal RNA", at positions 28 to 507 of the family's 1533-position model. The record is from RNAcentral.